This 316-nucleotide unclassified non-coding RNA is filed under the name fungal sp. RNAcentral's name for it is "partial internal transcribed spacer region". The stretch from base 1 to 46 matches the Rfam family "Eukaryotic small subunit ribosomal RNA", at positions 1786 to 1831 of the family's 1831-position model. The record is from RNAcentral. Lineage: Eukaryota; Fungi.
AAGUCGUAACAAGGUUUCCGUAGGUGAACCUGCGGAAGGAUCAUUACCAAUCCAAAACUUUUAUCAACCCACACUAUGUGCACAGUGAAACCUAACCGUUGCGUUUCCCAAGCGCGUUUCGGGAGGGAAACCUCUCGUGACUCAACACUUGGGAGACCAACAACCUUUUGAAAAAAAGAAACUUUUUUUUUUCUAAAACAACACUGAAACUCUUUUUCAUGUGUGUUUUUUUGAUCUUACAUGUUUACAAAUGCUGAAAGCAAAACAAAACUAAAAAAAAUAAUGACAACUUUUAACGGUGGAUCUCUUGGCUCGU